UACGGAGGAUGCGAGCGUUAUCCGGAUUUAUUGGGUUUAAAGGGUGCGUAGGCGGGCUCUUAAGUCAGCGGUAAAAAUUCGGGGCUCAACCCCGUCCGGCCGUUGAAACUGGGGGUCUUGAGUGGGCGAGAAGAAGGCGGAAUGCGUGGUGUAGCGGUGAAAUGCAUAGAUAUCACGCAGAACCCCGAUUGCGAAGGCAGCCUUCCGGCGCCCUACUGACGCUGAGGCACGAGAGUGCGGGGAUCGAACAGG
Molecule: ribosomal RNA, 252 nt
Filed under: uncultured bacterium
Lineage: Bacteria
Description: partial 16S ribosomal RNA
Rfam family: Bacterial small subunit ribosomal RNA
Source: RNAcentral